CCUAAGUUUGCUGGAGUCUCCAAGAAAAAUUGGGAUGGUUCCUCCAAUCUUGGUUAUGUGAUUAAGAAUGGUUCAUUGACAGAAUUGGAGUAACCUUGGACAACAUGAACUUGUUCUUGGAUGAAAGGUGAAAACUAUGCAGUUGUGGGAUAUUCACUCACAUGAUGGACUGGACUAGCACAGAUAAAAUAAUUUUUCUGAUAAUUGAGAGGUGGUGUGUAUUGCAUAGGAGAUUGUAGACCUAGGGCUAGGAUUUAUUUAUAAGAAGGUCG
Molecule: long non-coding RNA, 272 nt
Filed under: Elaeis guineensis (African oil palm)
Lineage: Eukaryota; Viridiplantae; Streptophyta; Magnoliopsida; Arecales; Arecaceae
Description: long non-coding RNA (EGUI_LNC054594)
Source: RNAcentral